CUGUUUUUUAAGAGAAGCAAUGUGCUUAAUAUUAGGAAAGUUGAGAAAUAAAUAUAGGAGGUAUGUCUCAGGUAAGACCCAAAUGCAAACUGUGUUGAAAUAACAAUGUUGAUUACAGCAACAGGGGCAGGCAAACGACAGGUCAAGGCAGGCCGGGUCGAUAAUCCAGAGUGGUGGGGCAAAGCUACAGGAGAGCAGGCAGGGUCAGGUCAGGCAGAGGUCGGUAAUCCAGAGUGGUGGGGAAAAGGUACAGGACAGCAGGCAGGGUCAGGUCAGGCAGAGGUCGGUAAUCCAGAGUGGUGGGGAAAAGGUACAGGACAGCAGGCAGGGUCAGGUCAGGCAGAGGUCGGUAAUCCAGAGUGGUGGGGAAAAGGUACAGGACGGCAGGCAGGGUCAGGUCAGGCAGAGGUCGGUAAUCCAGAGUGGUGGGGAAAAGGUACAGGACGGCAGGCAGGGUCAGGUCAGGCAGAGGUCGGUAAUCCAGAGUAGGGGCAAAGGUAGAGGACGACAGGCAGGGUCAGGUCAGGC
Oncorhynchus tshawytscha (Chinook salmon) is the source of this 528-nucleotide long non-coding RNA. The record is from Ensembl. NCBI's taxonomy places the organism in Eukaryota, Metazoa, Chordata, Actinopteri, Salmoniformes, Salmonidae.